AUGGAUGCCGCGGUGCACGUUCUCGUGUCCCCCUGGCCAAGGCAGGGACACAUCAACCCCAUGCUCCAUUUCGCCACGGCCCUCGUCGAUGCCGGCGUCCAAGUCACCUUCCUCCACACCGAGCACAACCUCCGCCGCCUUGCCCAGGCGCCUCUGCCACCUCGCCUACGCUUGCUUUCUAUCCCUGACGGCCUCCCAGACGACCACCCUCGCAGCAUCUUGGAGCUCUUGGAGUCCAUGUGCACGACCAGCAGCGCCGCGUACCAUGCCCUGCUCUUGUCCGCCGACGUGCCGGUGACAUGCGUUGUCGCCGAUGGCCCCAUGCCGUUCGCCAUCGACAUUGCCGAGGAGCUCGGCAUCCCCGCGCUCGCCUUUGCCACGCACAGCGCCUGCAGCUACCUGGCGCUCCUGUCCAUGCCCAAGCUCGGCGAGCUCGGCGAGAGCCCCUUCCCUGCGGACGACCCGGUGUGCGGCGUUCCAGGGAUGGAGGGCUUCCUCCGGCGCCGAGAUCUUCCUCGGGGACUCUACUGCGCUGAACAAGGCGACGGAGACCCCUGGAUGCUCAAGCUCGCCGAGGUCACCGCUCGUUCCAGCAAGGCAUGUGCGCUCAUACUCAACACCGCCGCGUCCAUGGAGCAGCCAGCGCUUGCCCACAUUGCGUCGCGCACAAGCAACGUGUUCGCCAUAGGCCCGCUGCAUGCCAGGUCAAGGUUCGCCGCAAGCCCAAGCCUGUGGAGAGAGGACGACGGGUGCAUGGCGUGGCUGGACAGCCAUGAGGACCGGUCCGUCGUGUACGUGAGCCUGGGGAGCCGCGCGGUGAUCACACACGAGCAGUUCACCGAGUUCCUCUCCAGCCUGGUAGCUACUGGGUACGCUUUCCUCUGGGCGCUUCGGCCGGACAAGGUCCAGAUGACCAGCUCCGCGCUCCUCCGAGAAGCUGUCGGGGCGGUGCAGGGCAGCAAGGCACGCGUCGUCGAGUGGGCUCCUCAGCGGACGUGCUGCGGCACCGGGCGGUGGGCUGCUUCCUGA
This 1029-nucleotide ribosomal RNA is filed under the name Triticum aestivum (bread wheat). Its description in RNAcentral is "partial small subunit ribosomal RNA". The record is from RNAcentral. Lineage: Eukaryota; Viridiplantae; Streptophyta; Magnoliopsida; Poales; Poaceae.